CACAAAAGGCAGUAUUUGAUAAAUUGGUCCGAGAACACAAUUAAUUCGUAGUGCAUUUCUUUUAGAACACAAAUGAAAACUAAAAAAAUCCCACCUGCGCUUUCUCAUUGAAAUUUUUUACAGUGUGUUGUACUACUUUUAUGACAAAAUAUAUCAAAAUUAUAGAAAACUGCAUCGCCUCUAACUCAAAAUAUAGACAAUUUGUGUUUAGGUGUUUAAAUCUUUGACAGUUUCCGAAGUGCUAAUUUAAACCUUUUUCAGCUGGACCAAAUCACUGCUUUCCUGUAAAAUUCUAGACACAAAUUUUUUUACAGUGUAAUUUCACC
This 326-nucleotide long non-coding RNA is filed under the name Mytilus galloprovincialis (Mediterranean mussel). The record is from RNAcentral. Lineage: Eukaryota; Metazoa; Mollusca; Bivalvia; Mytilida; Mytilidae.